GGGUGGGCUUGUGCAGAGCCUGGAGUUGGACUCGAUGCACCUUGUGGGUCCCUUCCAACUCAGCAUAUUCUGUGAUUCUGUGAGUUAGCUCCGAGAGGA
Empidonax traillii (willow flycatcher) is the source of this 99-nucleotide long non-coding RNA. RefSeq lists it as uncharacterized. The record is from RefSeq and is a predicted model, not a curated record. NCBI's taxonomy places the organism in Eukaryota, Metazoa, Chordata, Aves, Passeriformes, Tyrannidae. The transcript is spliced from 3 exons.